GUGAAUCAUCGAAUCUUUGAACACACCUUGCGCUCCUUGGUAUUCCGAGGAGCAUGCCUGUUUGAGUGUCUUGAAGUCAUCAACUGCCCCCGUUUGAUUGCGGGGGACGGGUUGGAUCUGGGGGCGUGCCGCUGCGAAGCGGCUCCCUUCAAAUGCAUCGGUUGGACCUGUGGGUCGAACUCGACUGGGCGUUGUAACAUCCUCGCUCUUCCGAGAGGUUCCCCUUUGGUGUCCUCCCACGACCUGCCUGCGGAGUGGCGGUCAACUUGCUCUGAAAUCUGACCUCAAAUCAGGUAGGACUACCCGCUGAACUUAAGCAUAUCAAUAAGCGGAGGA
RNAcentral lists this unclassified non-coding RNA (336 nucleotides) under Trechispora sp. Its description in RNAcentral is "partial contains 5.8S ribosomal RNA, internal transcribed spacer 2, and large subunit ribosomal RNA". The stretch from base 1 to 71 matches the Rfam family "5.8S ribosomal RNA", at positions 84 to 154 of the family's 154-position model. The record is from RNAcentral. Lineage: Eukaryota; Fungi; Basidiomycota; Agaricomycetes; Trechisporales; Hydnodontaceae.